AGCUUGCUCUUUUCAGAAUUGAGUGGCAAACGGGUGAGUAACACGUAAACAACCUGCCUUUAUCAGGGGGAUAACGCAUCGAAAGAUGUGCUAAUACCGCGUAAGACCACAGCUUCGCAUGGAGCGGGGGUCAAAGGAGCAAUCCGGAUAAAGAUGGGCUCGCGUCCGAUUAGCUAGUUGGUGAGAUAACAGCCCACCAAGGCGACGAUCGGUAGCCGACCUGAGAGGGUGAUCGGCCACAUUGGAACUGAGACACGGUCCAAACUCC
RNAcentral lists this ribosomal RNA (268 nucleotides) under uncultured bacterium. RNAcentral's name for it is "partial 16S ribosomal RNA". It matches the Rfam family "Bacterial small subunit ribosomal RNA", at positions 77 to 339 of the family's 1533-position model. RNAcentral also lists the same sequence under 1 other name. The record is from RNAcentral.